Molecule: non-coding RNA, 1095 nt
Organism: Lolium perenne
Lineage: Eukaryota; Viridiplantae; Streptophyta; Magnoliopsida; Poales; Poaceae
Source: RefSeq, a predicted model, not a curated record
GUUAUUCAUCAUAAUUUUGAUGCACAAUCAUAUAUAUGUUAGCAAAGAAGUAUCCAGUGAUAUGUGCUAAGUAAAAAAGCCUAUACUUGCAAGGAAUUAUUUUCCCCAAGAUGAUUUAGCAUGUCAAAAUUGGGCUGUGCUUGUGACAAAGCCAUCUCGAUGUACACUUUGUGUUUUGAGUACAUCUAGAUAAGAUGCACCACUUAAAUAAUCAAGGGUAAGAUUACCAACGGUAGAAAGGGAGAUGAGUUUGUUCUAUUAAGUUUUUUGUUCAUUCUAUUUUGAUAAAACAAUUACAAGAAGUUUAUUCCGAAAAGCUAAAUUAUAUUAUUAUAACUGUUGAUGAUUAUUUCCCUAGCAGCAAAAAAUCUCAUCAACUUCUUUAUUUGUUGAAACUCAACCAAGGUCAGAGGAAUGAGUUCAAUGCCCACUGCUAUUUGAUAAAACACACACAGCUGAUGGAUGGAAGCACACGGAGGCCGCGGGCUAUUGCAAUGCCACAUGACAACAACUUGAGUUCAUCGCCAAGGUAACUUUCCUCCCCGGCAUUGAGUUUUUUUAGAAAAAUUGCAGCCGCAGACCUAUAGCAAUUAUGAUUGUACAUUCUAUAACUAUGUAUUUCAAAAUUUAGUAUUAGUAGCAGACAAUGCUAAAAGGUCAAGUAUGAUUCGAAAGUUCUCUGUCUAGAGCAUCAGGCACAUUCAACGUUGAGCAUCAGGUACAUGGCUGAAUUCUGUAAGUAUUAUCAGAGUUACAAACGUCACAUAUCAGAUUUUAUUAGCCUCUGUGUGGAGCCAUGCCACUUGUAUUUUUUCGUGGCCAAACUGAAUACACCAUGCGAUGUGUCUCAUCCACCAGUUUAGUUUUGAUCUUCUUAUACAUGUAUAGGUUUUAGAUAAGUUGAGAAAUCAGAGGUGAAUAUAUGACUGAAUCUAACCAUGUGAUGGUGUUUCUGCUGGCUUUUAAGAUUGCCACUAAUAGGCCUGAGCGUCUCCAUGCCUACUGCUUCUAUCUUCUUAUUUAGAGCUCAUAUGUGUUGGUGAUCCUUUUUUAUAUUCAAUGGAUAUGAGGACAGUCUGCUGACCAAGUCCAAUG